RNAcentral lists this long non-coding RNA (2250 nucleotides) under Homo sapiens (human). RNAcentral describes it as "long non-coding RNA NONHSAT161781.1". Lineage: Eukaryota; Metazoa; Chordata; Mammalia; Primates; Hominidae. The record is from RNAcentral.
UGCUGCACUGCACCUCAUUCGCAGGGGGCCUCUUCGCCGGAACUCGCUUUCAGGCUACAAGAAUCCAUCCACCUACACCCCUUCUCCACCUGGGUGUCUCUCAGACCCAGAAAAUGGUGCCAUUGGCCCACUGACAACUAAAUGUGGGGACAGGUCUCUUACAAGCCACUGGGUAGUAAAAGCAUCCUGAGGUGGCAUACCAUAUCGCAUAAUUGCAUUAAGAAAGGCUUUUCGCUGACGAGCAUUAAAACCAAGUACCUAGGGGAAGAAGAAACCCAGGUGAGAGGCAGCAGGUCGCAUUCCACCAAAGAUGCAAUAUCUGACACUCACCCCUCCUUAGAAUCGUAUGGCACUUACUUCAAUAUUCCCACCAACACGGGCCAACAGAGGAGGCAAUGGCUUAUCUUUAUCAUUCCGCAGGCCCUUACGACUGGGCCUACGGGGAGCUGCAAGAAGAAAAAGAUGAAUGAGUGACACAGGUAGGAUAUUAAACAAAGCAACAUUUAGAAAAGCAACAAAAAAAGCACAGCCCUCACCUUCUGAACGUUCAUCAAAGUCUUCAUCACCUUCCUCUGAAGCCACUGAGUAAUCGGACUGGUUGUCGGACUGGUCGUCCUGCCAAUCUGGAGGGAGAGAGGGCAGAUGAGCGGGGCCCACUGCUCUAGUGGAACGGCCCAUGGGUGGGGGGCGGGGCCGGCCACACACACCUCGGUCCUCCUGGGAGCCAUCAUUGUAGUUGACCUGUUUACGGAUUCUUUUUCCUUUGCCCAGAUUUCGGGCUAGAUCUUCUUGCUGCUGCUCAUAAUGGUGCCGCAGCAAUUUCUCCCAGUAGUCAGGAUCCACACUUUCUUCCUGUUUAAUGAUUUCCCGUUCUACCUCCUCUUCCUCCUGGGACAGAGGGAGGGCCAGGACUCAGGAGUGCUGAAGUCAGCACCACCAGCUACCCCUGGUCCUCACAGUUCCCACUCUGCUAGCUCCUUUUCAUGACUGGACUCUUAAAUACUUGGUGUGCCUGUUUGGACCUAAGAACUUAGAAGAAAUUUGAUUGAGAGUACACAGCUCCUCAUAAUUACAUAUAGAUUAGCAGUCAGCAUAACUCAAGAAAAACAUGGGAUAGAGCUAUUAUCACAGGUAAGGAUGAAGAGACAGAAUGCUUUCUUCUAACCCCUUGCACUGAUGCAUAUACAAUUGAAAGAUAGCAAAAAGAAAAGAGGUCAGAGCCUUAGCAAGGCAGAAUGGAGAAACUUCUGAAGUACUGUAAAAGAUUUUCAUAAGAGAGAAGGAAGGAGAGGAUGACUAUAAGCCUUUCUAUUCUUCAUAAACUUCAUAAAAGCUUACCAACUGUCUGCAGAACGAAAAGAAUUCUAUAUAGCCUCUUAUGUCCCAAAAACGUUGAUACUCCUCUAAAAGUGAAUUUUUUUCAGACACUUGAGGACCACUCACUGAUUCCACAUCCCUUAUAUUGGAAUUAAACAGCUGCUAAUAGCAUAACAUUAGAAACAACCUAAAAGCCCAUCAUUAUGGAACUAAUUAAAUAAAUUACAAUCGGCCCUCUGUAUCCACGGGUUCCGCACCUGUGGAUUCAAACAACCAUAGAUGGAAAAUAUUCAGAGAAAAAACAAAAUUAUGUCUGUACUCAACAUUUACAGACUUUUUUCUUGUCAUUAUUCCCUAACCAAUGUAGCAUUUACAUUGCAUUGGUAUUACUUUUAUGUUUACAAGGAAAAAAAAGUCUUUGGGUACAUAUAUGUGAGUGUACAUAUAUGUGUAUGAAUAUAUGUAUAAUUUGUAUACACAUAAAAUAUUUUUGGAAAGAUAUAAAAGGAACUGAAAACAUUAGUUGUCCCCAAGAAGGGAACUAAAUUGUUAGAGGACAGGAGAGAAAAGAGAUACGUGUGUGUACAUAUAAAUAUAUAUAUAUUUUUUUGAGAGAGGGUCUAGCUGUGUUGCCCAGGCUGGAGUAGAGUGGCGUCAUUACGGCUCACUGCAGCCUCGACUGCCAAGUUUAAGCAAUCCUCCCACGCAGCUGGGACCACAAGCGUGAGCAACCACACUCGGCUAAUGUUUUUAUUAUUUAGAGACGGAAUUUUACCAUGUUGCCCAAGUUGGUCUCCAACUCCUGGGCUCAAACGACCCUCCUGCCUCAGCCUCCCAAAGUACUGGGAUUCUAGGCAUGAGCCACCGUGUCUGGCCCUUUUGUGUAUUUUGAACUAUGUAAAUUCUAUCUAUUAAAAAUAAAACUUAAAAAUA